Molecule: transfer RNA, 93 nt
Filed under: Phialocephala subalpina
Lineage: Eukaryota; Fungi; Ascomycota; Leotiomycetes; Helotiales; Mollisiaceae
Rfam family: tRNA
About the family: Transfer RNA (tRNA) molecules are approximately 80 nucleotides in length. Their secondary structure includes four short double-helical elements and three loops (D, anti-codon, and T loops).
Source: Rfam by way of RNAcentral
GGGCGCGUGGUUUAGUGGUAUAAUUUUCCCUUAGCAUACUUCGUAUGACAUUCAGUCUGGGAAAGGUCCUGGGUUCGAUUCCCAGCGCGUCCA